Molecule: long non-coding RNA, 2103 nt
Organism: Spinacia oleracea (spinach)
Lineage: Eukaryota; Viridiplantae; Streptophyta; Magnoliopsida; Caryophyllales; Amaranthaceae
Exons: 4
Source: RefSeq, a predicted model, not a curated record
CGGAAAUAUGGAUCGUAUCGGAAAUAUAAAUAUUAUCCAAGUCGUAGAUGUUGCCGGAAACGGAAACAUGGUACGUAUCGGAAAAUAUUAAUGGAAAUGGAAAUAUUGCCGGAAUCGGAAAUAUUACCGGAAACGGAAAUAUUGUCUGAAUCGGAAAUAUUAUCGGAAUCGGAGAAUAAUUCCGGAAACGGAAAUAUUAAAUAUUUGUUCGAAACGGAAAUUAAUUCCGGAAUCGGAAAUGUUAAAUAUUGUUCGUAUCGGAAAUGAAAUCCGGAAUCGGGAAAUUAAUCGGAAGCGCGUCGUACGAAUUAGCAUCGGACGAGCUUGCUAGACGAAGGCCCAGCACGAAGCCAGGCCCACGUCCAGCAAGAGAAACGCGCGCCACAAAGCACCAGCCAAGGCUGCGCCAGGCGCACCGCAAGGCAGGCCCAGCGCGCGCCAAGGCUGCGGCAGCGUGUGGGCUUCGUGGCAGUGAGCUGCGAGUGCUCCUGGGCUGCGCGUGCGCGCACAUGGCGCCCCUCGUGGGCUGCUGUGCGUGCGUGUGUGUAUUUGUGUUCACAUACGAAACCUAAAGCGUAUAGGAUUCAUUUAAUGAUUAAAUUCCUAAUCCUAAAAGAUAAAUUAAUUAAAUAAGAGUUCUACUAGGAUUCUAAUUUAAUUAAUUCGUAUCCUAGUAGGAUUCCAAUUCUCUUUCCAUACCCCUAUAAAUAUGUGGCCUGGGGUCACAAUUUAUAACGAGUUUUGAAGUAUUCAAAGUGAUUUUUGAGAGAAAAAAUUCAGUCACAUUCUUGCCAAUAAUUGCCGAAAAUUAUAGUACCUUAAGGGCGAUUCUAGUUGGUCAAGCUUAAGGCGGAUCCGGACGUGCUGUGGGCUAUCUACGGAGGGACGACACUUGGAGUCCUAAAGACUUGUUCUUGUUCGGUUCGGGCGCAGCUAGGGAGGGCACGCUACAAAGUGUAUGCACCUAAAUUAUGCUAUAUGAUUAUGUGUAAAUAAUAUGUUUCCUGGCUUUAUGGUUUUUCCGCAUGAUUUAUGUUUAUUCAUAUGUAUCAUAACCUAACACGAGUGUCCCUUCAGCAUAGUAUGAGGGGCAGGCUUGUCCCUAAGGACCCACCGGAGACCAUGUUGGCGCGAGAUGAAGAUGUCGCCCAGCUCUAUUUGAAUGCUGGGGGCGAUGAUGUUUGUCUCCCUUGGGAGAACUUUGUAGAUAGAAGGGGCCGUCAUGAGGACCUUUUGAAGAGGCUUGCUCCACCUGUACGCUUCGUACCGCCGGAGUAGGAGACGGACCCCGAGGAUAUUCCCUAUGCUGACAGGGUUAUCCGUUAUGAGAACUCGGAUGGGGAGCAGGUGGAGGUGACCGUUCCUGUAGCUUCUCCUCCACACCGGAGGUCGUAUGAUGCUGUACCGGAGCAUUAUGCAGCUGCGCCUCGGGUGAGAGUGUGUCGUUGGAUGCUCAUAAUUGAUUCCUUGAAGAGGCAUUGUGCCAAGCUGACCCAGAAGCUUACUGGCCGGGACAGAGAGGAGCGUCGUCGAGGUCGCAGAGGUUCCGUUGACAGGGAGCCCCAGGCGGAGACUUCAGCAGGGCAGUCGGGACCGAGCUUAGGUCUUGGCACUAGUACUCAUUAGAGGCAUUCUGAUGUUGACAAGGGAGGUGUUCCCUUUGUAUAUGUGGACCCUACCAGGCAUUAUUUCGGAGAUCAGGGCAGUUCGAUGCCUUUUGCGCCACCCCCUAGUCCUUUCUUCGGAGCUAGCAGCUCUCAGCCUUGGAGUUUUAAUUCUUGGGCUUACUGGUGUGAGAUGGAGCGGAUGCGACAGGCCCAGACCUUUGGGGCGCAGCGCCAGUUCAUGACGAUGCCGCAGCCUUUUCGGUACCCUUAUCCUCAGCAGGAGAUCUACCGCUCUCUCGGUACUCUUCGUAUUUCGGAGCAGGAGCCUGAUACCCCUGGGACAGAGCUAGAUCAGGAUCUGGAGCGCUUUAGGAGCCGAAACAGGAACAAGGAGCCUGUGGUUGACAUUACGGCUAUUGAUCCUACAUGGUAGUGAGUUCCAGCUUUCCUCGGUUGGGUUUUGUAUGGAUUGCAUUCGUAUGGAUUGUAUUUUGUA